UACGGGGGGAGCAAGCGUUGUUCGGAUUUACUGGGCGUAAAGGGCGCGUAGGCGGCCAGCGCAAGUCAGUUGUGAAAUCUCCGGGCUUAACUCGGAAAGGUCAACUGAUACUGCGCGGCUAGAGUGCGGAAGGGGCAACUGGAAUUCUCGGUGUAGCGGUGAAAUGCGUAGAUAUCGGGAGGAACACCAGUGGCGAAGGCGGCUUUCUGGCCUGUUCUUGACGCUGAGGCGCGAAAGCUAGGGGAGCAAACGGG
RNAcentral lists this ribosomal RNA (254 nucleotides) under uncultured bacterium. Its description in RNAcentral is "partial 16S ribosomal RNA". It matches the Rfam family "Bacterial small subunit ribosomal RNA", at positions 524 to 776 of the family's 1533-position model. The record is from RNAcentral.